RNAcentral lists this ribosomal RNA (492 nucleotides) under uncultured bacterium. Its description in RNAcentral is "partial 16S ribosomal RNA". The stretch from base 85 to 492 matches the Rfam family "Bacterial small subunit ribosomal RNA", at positions 1 to 507 of the family's 1533-position model. The record is from RNAcentral.
GGGGGGGGCGGGGGGGGGGGGGGGGGGGGGGGGGGGGGGGGGGGGGGGGGGGAGGGCGGGCGCGGGGGGGGGGGGGGGGGGGGGCGGGUGAGGAGGACAUCGGGCCCUCCGUUGUCGGGGGGGCUAACGUGGGGAAGCGGACGGUAAGACCGCAGUCGACCUGCUGGUGACGGCGCGGUAUCGGCGGACCCUCCGGCCCUGAAACAGCCGCGCUCGGAUUAGCUAGUUGGCGGGGUAAAGGCCCACCAAGGCGACGAUCCGUAGCUGGUCUGACAGGAUGAUCAGCCACACUGGAACUGAGACACGGUCCAGACUCCUACGGGAGGCAGCAGUGGGGAAUAUUGGACAAUGGGCGCAAGCCUGAUCCAGCCAUACCGCGUGGGUGAAGAAGGCCUUCGGGUUGUAAAGCCCUUUUGUUGGGAAAGAAAAGCAGCAGGUUAAUACCCCGCUGUUCUGACGGUACCCAAAGAAUAAGCACCGGCUAACUUCGUG